This 1436-nucleotide ribosomal RNA is filed under the name uncultured bacterium. RNAcentral's name for it is "partial 16S ribosomal RNA". It matches the Rfam family "Bacterial small subunit ribosomal RNA". The record is from RNAcentral.
UUAUACUUUGAUCCUGGCUCAGAACGAACGCUGGCGGCAGGCUUAACACAUGCAAGUCGAACGCCCCGCAAGGGGAGUGGCAGACGGGUGAGUAACGCGUGGGAAUCUACCGUACCCUACGGAAUAACGCAUGGAAACGUGUGCUAAUACCGUAUACGCCCUUCAGGGGAAAGAUUUAUCGGGGUAUGAUGAGCCCGCGUUGGAUUAGCUAGUUGGUGGGGUAAAGGCCUACCAAGGCGACGAUCCAUAGCUGGUCUGAGAGGAUGAUCAGCCACAUUGGGACUGAGACACGGCCCAAACUCCUACGGGAGGCAGCAGUGGGGAAUAUUGGACAAUGGGCGCAAGCCUGAUCCAGCCAUGUCGCGUGAGUGAUGAAGGUCUUAGGAUUGUAAAGCUCUUUCACCGAUGAAGAUAAUGACGGUAGUCGGAGAAGAAGCCCCGGCUAACUUCGUGCCGGCAGCCGCGGUAAUACGAAGGGGGCUAGCGUUGUUCGGAAUUACUGGGCGUAAAGCGCACGUAGGCGGAUAUUUAAGUCAGGGGUGAAAUCCCGCAGCUCAACUGCGGAACUGCCUUUGAUACUGGGUAUCUCGAGUAUGGAAGAGGUGAGUGGAAUUCCGAGUGUAGAGGUGAAAUUCGUAGAUAUUCGGAGGAACACCAGUGGCGAAGGCGGCUCACUGGUCCAUUACUGACGCUGAGGUGCGAAAGCGUGGGGAGCAAACAGGAUUAGAUACCCUGGUAGUCCGCGCCGUAAACGAUGAAUGUUAGCCGUCGGGCAGCUUGCUGUUCGGUGGCGCAGCUAACGCAUUAAACAUUCCGCCUGGGGAGUACGGUCGCAAGAUUAAAACUCAAAGGAAUUGACGGGGGCCCGCACAAGCAGCGGAGCGUGUGGUUUAAUUCGAUGCAACGCGAAGAACCUUACCAGGGCUUGACAUAUCGGUAGUAGAAACCCGAAAGGGGGACGACCUGUUGAGUCAGGAACCGAUGCAGGUGCUGCAUGGCUGUCGUCAGCUCGUGCCGUGAGGUGUUGGGUUAAGUCCCGCAACGAGCGCAACCCCCGUUGCCAGUUGAUUUCUCUGGCGAGACUGCCCCGUAGAACGGGGAGGAAGGUGGGGAUGACGUCAAGUCAGCAUGGCCCUUAUGCCCUGGGCUACACACACGCUACAAUGGGUGGUACAAUGGGUUGCAAGGGAGCAAUCCGGAGCUAAUCCUCAAAGCCAUCCUCAGUACGGAUUGUAGGCUGAAACCCGCCUGCAUGAAGCUGGAGUUGCCAGUAACCGCAGGUCAGCAUACUGCGGUGAAUACGUUCUCGGGCCUUGUACACACCGCCCGUCACGUCAUGAAAGUUGGCAACGCCUGAAGUCGAUGGGCUAACCCUUCGGGGAGGCAGUCGCCUAGGGUGGGGCUGAUGAUUGGGACGAAGUCGUAACAAGGUAACC